GACGAACGUUGGCGGCGUGCUUAACACAUGCAAGUCGAACGGAAAGGCCCUGCUUUUGUGGGGUGCUCGAGUGGCGAACGGGUGAGUAACACGUGAGUAACCUGCCCUUGACUUUGGGAUAACUUCAGGAAACUGGGGCUAAUACCGGAUAGGAGCUCCUGCUGCAUGGUGGGGGUUGGAAAGUUUCGGCGGUUGGGGAUGGACUCGCGGCUUAUCAGCUUGUUGGUGGGGUAGUGGCUUACCAAGGCUUUGACGGGUAGCCGGCCUGAGAGGGUGACCGGCCACAUUGGGACUGAGAUACGGCCCAGACUCCUACGGGAGGCAGCAGUGGGGAAUAUUGCACAAUGGGCGGAAGCCUGAUGCAGCAACGCCGCGUGCGGGAUGACGGCCUUCGGGUUGUAAACCGCUUUCGCCUGUGACGAAGCGUGAGUGACGGUAAUGGGUAAAGAAGCACCGGCUAACUACGUGCCAGCAGCCGCGGUGAUACGUAGGGUGCGAGCGUUGUCCGGAUUUAUUGGGCGUAAAGGGCUCGUAGGUGGUUGAUCGCGUCGGAAGUGUAGUCUUGGGGCUUAACCCUGAGCGUGCUUUCGAUACGGGUUGACUUGAGGAAGGUAGGGGAGAAUGGAAUUCCUGGUGGAGCGGUGGAAUGCGCAGAUAUCAGGAGGAACACCAGUGGCGAAGGCGGUUCUCUGGGCCUUUCCUGACGCUGAGGAGCGAAAGCGUGGGGAGCGAACUGGCUUAGAUACCCUGGUAGUCCACGCUGUAAACGGUGGGUACUAGGUGUGGGGUCCAUUCCACGGGUUCCGUGCCGUAGCUAACGCUUUAAGUACCCCGCCUGGGGAGUACGGCCGCAAGGCUAAAACUCAAAGGAAUUGACGGGGCCCCGCACAAGCGGCGGAGCAUGCGGAUUAAUUCGAUGCAACGCGUAGAACCUUACCUGGGUUUGACAUGGAUCGGGAGUGCUCAGAGAUGGGUGUGCCUCUUUUGGGGUCGGUUCACAGGUGGUGCAUGCCUGUCGUCAGCUCGUGUCGUGAGAUGUUGGGUUAAGUCCCGCAACUAGCGCAACCCUUGUUCACUGUUGCCAGCACGUUAUGGUGGGGACUCAGUGGAGACCGCCGGGGUCAACUCGGAGGAAGGUGGGGAUGACGUCAAGUCCUCAUGCCCCUUAUGUCCAGGGCUUCACGCAUGCUACAAUGGCUGGUACAGAGAGUGGCGAGCCUGUGAGGGUGAGCGAAUCUCGGAAAGCCGGUCUCAGUUCGGAUUGGGGUCUGCAACUCGACCUCAUGAAGUCGGAGUCGCUAGUAAUCGCAGAUCAGCAACGCUGCGGUGAAUACGUUCCCGGG
RNAcentral lists this ribosomal RNA (1343 nucleotides) under uncultured bacterium. RNAcentral's name for it is "16S ribosomal RNA". It matches the Rfam family "Bacterial small subunit ribosomal RNA", at positions 28 to 1378 of the family's 1533-position model. The record is from RNAcentral.